Ostrea edulis (European flat oyster) is the source of this 3251-nucleotide long non-coding RNA. RefSeq lists it as uncharacterized. The transcript is spliced from 4 exons. NCBI's taxonomy places the organism in Eukaryota, Metazoa, Mollusca, Bivalvia, Ostreida, Ostreidae. The record is from RefSeq and is a predicted model, not a curated record.
GAAAAACUUCUUUAUUUCUUUCUUACCGUUAUGUAGACCAGUGAAAAUAAUGAACAACGAUUAAUCGCAUAAAUCCCAUGAAGAAUAGAAAACUGAAAGUAGGGCAAACAUAGAUACCUGGACAUAUCAGAGGUGAGAUCAGACAGAUCAUGAGAUGGAAACCAAUGUAAUUGAGACGAAAAGGGAGUACAACUCGAAAUAUCAAGGAAAAACAAGAAAGGCCAUUAUGAAUCAGCAGAUGACACAUGCAAUGGGAAGUUUAUUUCAGGAAACAAAGCCUGCCUGAAACUCCAAAAUGACAUUUCCAGAAAGCUGAAGAAUGGAUAAAAAUGUAUCUACCAUCUUACAACCCAGAUUUCAUUCCACUGAAAAGAAAAGGGACAGGAAAUUUUGCAUGUCCAUGUCUUGGAAGGUGAAUAGCUGGAAAGUCAAUAGAUACUUACCAUAUCAGAUGCUUGCAGAGGAUACUGGGGAUAAAGUAGCAGAAAAUUAUGGAAAACAGGGAAGUGGCAGCCAGGACUAUGGAGGGGAGGUGACAAUGACAGUGAGAUGGCGUUAGGUUGGACAUCAGAAGGGAAGAGGGCAUUUAAGAGGCCGAAAACAACCCGGAGAGGAACAGUAGAAGCAGAAAGAGAGAUUGCAGAAUGGAGAAACUUGAAUGAGAUCAAGAUGGUAGCAAUAGAACAGAGUGGAUUGGAGAGAGUCUCGGUCCUAUGUGUUUCGGCAUGGAGAGAACUAAGUAAUAUCUAGAUUGUUGGAGAUAGGAUGACCAGGAAUAUGAAUGGAUGUGAUGGAAAUUGUACUAAGACCCUUAUGUAUUUGGAUAGAUUUACAUACCAUCAUGAUUUUGCUAUGAAAAACUUGAAAAAAAAUCCUCAAGUCAUAUUGUAGCUGACAUUGUACAUUUGUACUUAUUAAUAUUUCAAAUGAACAUAUUUUUAGACAUACAAUAUCUAAACUUUGGAGUCCAUGUACAUCUCCACAUUGGAUAAUAGGUUAUGAUAUAUGUGUGUGAAAUCUUUUCCUAUGGUAUGCACAUGUUAACACAUUAGUUUAAAUGAUGAUGUAUAUCUUAUGACUAUGGAAGAGAAUGUGUUCAGAACAGAAUAUGUGUCUAGAAGAGUUGUUGCUCUUGAAUGUAAUUUAUUAUUUACAUGGGGUUGAAAAAUAAUCCAGCACACAGUAGUACUAAAUGCAUUAUGUUAAAAUACAUUUAUGAAUGGUAUAAGUUAUACUGUCAAUUAUUGAUUAAUACACUUUGUGAAAUCAUAUUAUUGUUAUGUUUAAUAAAUUUCAAGGCUGCACCUUUGUAAAUUUUACAAUAUAAUAUUCUGCACUUUGGUAUCAAAUUCUCUUAACCUAAUUUAAGAGUUACAUAUUCAUUAACAGCAAGUUAAUUAUGAUAUGCUAUGUAGUUUGUCAAAGGGGCAUUAGCUGUGAAAGUGAUGGCAACCUUUUUAUUCAAAAUCUCUCAAUAAGAAUAUAUAUUAAUGCCUAAUAAUAAUAUUUAUUUUGUACAAAAACAUGAGAAACCUAAUAAAACAACAAUAGAUUGUCACUUUUAGUGUAUAGAAAUACAUAAGGACGAAUUAUUGUCUUGCAAGACAAUAAUCAUUUAAUCACCAAAAUUCAUGUGAUAUUCAUACACAUUCAUGUGCCUGUUUUGGGGGUUAAAAGGUGUUUGAAAUAAUUAAAUACUAGUGUUAUCACUGAAAUAUACAUGUAUGAUAUGGAGCAAAUUUCAUUUAAUUUUUUUUUUGGUAUCAAAAUGACAGCUAAUGCCCCUUUAAGAAUAACUAUUUUCAAUGCACAUCAUAAUAACCUUGUUAAGCUUGAAAGAAUAUUGGUUAUAAGGAAUCUUGAUCAUACAUGUAAAUAUUAAAAAUAUUUUUAAUUUCUCCCAAGGAGUUCCUUAUAAACAAGCAUAAAAUCAUGAUUAUAGUACAUUGACUCUUGUGUGUUUCAAUCUGUUAGACUUUCCCAUUUUAUUGAAUUUCUUGGAAGUUGUGUUUAAAAAAGAAUUGGUGGUCUUGGAAAAAGGUUGUUGUAGUGAACAGCAAAGGUCAACUGCUAUUCAACAGUCUGUAUACCUAGUCACCAAGGGCAAGGGUAGAGGUCAUGUGGUUCUGCAUUUCACAGGGCCAGUUAAGGGGCUAAAAGAAUAUAAUGUUAAUGACAAUUAUUUUUAUGAAUAAUGAGAGACAUCUCCCAUCUCUUGUUAUAGUGUUCUUUAAAGAUUUUGUGGGAGAUGAGAAAUACUUUAUUUGAUGCAUAGACACCAAAUUAAAAGUGGAGCUUGUUGAUCCUAAGUAACAUCCCUGCCAUUAUCUUCAAUGCAGUCUUUCAUGUGUCUUAUAAAGGUUUGCAAACACUAGUGCUUGCAUAAUGCACAGACACGUGAAGUGGGUAGUGUACGUGUACAGAUGUUGUGUACACACCACCACCCCUCCACUGUCUACAAAAUAUACACCUGUAGAACCAGUAAUAUCACCAGAAUAUUUUAUUUCCCCACCGAUCACCUUCAUAAGUCAUUAUGAAGUCAGUUCUACGUUCUAUGAUCUCUGGUGAGAUAUUGAUACAUACCGUACCACUGGAUCUAAAAGAAAGACGUUUUACCACCAUCCCAUUCCAAUUUGAUAUCCUUUACUCUCAUGCGCUUUAAAUCAGAGACGGGAUACUUUUAACUUUGAUAAAGUUGAAUUUUCCAUUAUAUUCACAUGCAUAGUAAAUUAUCCCUUGCGAAUUAUGAUAUACUGACUGACACCCCCUCCCCCCUUACAUUGCAUGGUAGGAUGAAUCCGCGCCCUUCUUUACAUGUAUGGUGUUGAAGUUUGGAAUAGAGAACAUCUGUUAUGGAUUUUUUGGACCCUUUUUUAUUUUCGUUUGAUAGUCAAGAAUUUUAGACGAUCGCGAGUUAUCCUCUGCUACCCCCCCCCCCUUCAGGAAAAAAAACCCCACGCUAUGUGUCUCUCUGAUGCUCUUAAGAUUCUUAUGUGCAACGAAAAUGGAAGUUCAGUAAAAUUUCUGGCAACUUGAAAAAAAAUAAUAGAGGGCGAAGCCCUCUCACGGCCCGAAGGGCCGUGAGAGCGGAGCUCUCCCUAUAGGUAACACGUAUAUACAUGUUUAAAAGGAAAAUAUAGGAAAAUAAUGAAAAAUUAAACCAUACCUAUGGAACUUGAAAAGUUUGGUACCAAUGGCGUCGAUUCGAAUAUUAGCGCGUGGACAUGUAUUCCUCCAUUUUGAAUCUCGUC